RNAcentral lists this RNase P RNA (363 nucleotides) under pig gut metagenome. RNAcentral describes it as "Bacterial RNase P class A". It matches the Rfam family "Bacterial RNase P class A". From Rfam's summary of the family: Ribonuclease P (RNase P) is a ubiquitous endoribonuclease, found in archaea, bacteria and eukarya as well as chloroplasts and mitochondria. The record is from RNAcentral.
CAGAGCAGGCGAUCGCGGGUGCAGGUGCCGAAAGGCCGCACGUGAGGAAAGUCCGGGCUUCAUAGGGCAGGAUACCGGCUAACGGCCGGCGGAGGCAACUCCCGGGACAGUGCAGCAGAGAUAUACCGCCGCGUAACUGCCGGAACUCGUUCCGGUAAGACGCGGUAAGGGUGAAAAGGCAGUGUAAGAGACUACCGUCCGUGCAGUAAUGUGCGGAGCCAUGUAAACCCUAUCCGAAGCAAGACCGAAUUAAGACAAUGAGUCUGCCCGGCUCGUCUUAGGUGGGUCGCUUGAAGCUGCCGGCAACGGCAGUUCUAGAAAGAUGAUCGUCCAACGACAUAACCCGGCUUAUCGCUCUGCUUA